RNAcentral lists this ribosomal RNA (467 nucleotides) under uncultured bacterium. RNAcentral describes it as "partial 16S ribosomal RNA". It matches the Rfam family "Bacterial small subunit ribosomal RNA", at positions 28 to 506 of the family's 1533-position model. The record is from RNAcentral.
GACGAACGCUGGCGGCGUGCUUAACACAUGCAAGUCGAACGGAAAGGCCCUGCUUUUGUGGGGUGCUCGAGUGGCGAACGGGUGAGUAACACGUGAGUAACCUGCCCUUGACUUUGGGAUAACUUCAGGAAACUGGGGCUAAUACCGGAUAGGAGCUCCUGCUGCAUGGUGGGGGUUGGAAAGUUUCGGCGGUUGGGGAUGGACUCGCGGCUUAUCAGCUUGUUGGUGGGGUAGUGGCUUACCAAGGCUUUGACGGGUAGCCGGCCUGAGAGGGUGACCGGCCACAUUGGGACUGAGAUACGGCCCAGACUCAUACGGGAGGCAGCAGUGGGGAAUAUUGCACAAUGGGCGGAAGCCUGAUGCAGCAACGCCGCGUGCGGGAUGACGGCCUUCGGGUUGUAAACCGCUUUCGCCUGUGACGAAGCGUGAGUGACGGGAAUGGGUAAAGAAGCACCGGCUAACUACGU